UAAUGGACAAUUUAGGACUUUGGGAGCUCACAAACAUUCAUGUACAAUAUUCUAUUCUUAUAAACAGGUGUUCGCCAAAGAAAGCUCUAUAAUACAGGAAUGAUGGGGGGAUACCAAAUCAAAAGGGCAAGUGAGGAAGCUUGCGUGGAGCUGUGCUCGAGGAUGGUGAACUGUGCUGCUGUUCACUUUUAUUUACAGAGUUGCUUCUUCCACCAUGAAGAAAAACCAACGGUUACGAGUGAACACCACACACUUUAUAUAUUUGAUCAUUGCGCUUAUGAAACCACGACAGUAAUUACAACUACACCUCCAACGACUGUCACGACAACUACAGCUCCAAUCAUCAAGACAACUGGUACAAUGCUGUGGUCUUACUACAAGAGAUACGAUGAAGACAUGGCGGAAGGCUUGCCAAGUCGGGUGGCCUGUAUUGAAUGUGCUUGGAUGUGUUUGCGAUCCAACUGCACUGGUUUCACGUGUGGAAACAUG
Haliotis rufescens (red abalone) is the source of this 489-nucleotide long non-coding RNA. RefSeq lists it as uncharacterized. NCBI's taxonomy places the organism in Eukaryota, Metazoa, Mollusca, Gastropoda, Lepetellida, Haliotidae. The record is from RefSeq and is a predicted model, not a curated record. The transcript has 3 exons.